GGCCCGAUGGUCUAACGGUAAGACUUCCGUCCCUCAAUUGAUCAACCAAUCUUGGAUACCUUCAGGCUCGCCCUUGGAUAUCUCGAGUCUGCGGUUGAUUGAGGAAAGAUGGAGAACUCCAGUUCAAAUCUGGAUCAGGCCA
This 142-nucleotide transfer RNA is filed under the name Pseudogymnoascus sp. 03VT05. Its description in RNAcentral is "partial tRNA-Glu". The record is from RNAcentral. Lineage: Eukaryota; Fungi; Ascomycota; Leotiomycetes; Thelebolales; Thelebolaceae.